UAGGGAAUAUUGGACAAUGGGCGCAAGCCUGAUCCAGCCAUGCCGCGUGAGUGAAGAAGGCCCUCGGGUUGUAAAGCUCUUUUGUCCGGAAAGAAAAGCAUCGGGCUAAUACCCUGGUGUUCUGACGGUACCGGAAGAAUAAGCACCGGCUAACUUCGUGCCAGCAGCCGCGGUAAUACGAAGGGUGCAAGCGUUACUCGGAAUUACUGGGCGUAAAGCGUGCGUAGGUGGUUUGUUAAGUCUGAUGUGAAAGCCCUGGGCUCAACCUGGGAAUGGCAUUGGGAAACUGGCGGACUCGAGUGCGGUAGAGGGGUGUGGAAUUCCCGGUGUAGCAGUGAAAUGCGUAGAGAUCGGGAGGAACACCAGUGGCGAAGGCGACACCCUGGACCAGCACUGACACUGAGGCACGAAAGCGUGGGGAGCAAACAGGAUUAGAUACCCUGGUAGUCCACGCCCUAAACGAUGCGAACUGGAUGUUGGGUGCAACUUGGCACUCAGUAUCGAAGCUAACGCGUUAAGUUCGCCGCCUGGGGAGUACGGUCGCAAGACUGAAACUCAAAUGAAUUGACGGGGUCAUAGCUG
Molecule: ribosomal RNA, 582 nt
Filed under: uncultured bacterium
Lineage: Bacteria
Description: partial 16S ribosomal RNA
Rfam family: Bacterial small subunit ribosomal RNA
Source: RNAcentral